Molecule: long non-coding RNA, 367 nt
Organism: Dermacentor andersoni
Lineage: Eukaryota; Metazoa; Arthropoda; Arachnida; Ixodida; Ixodidae
Source: RefSeq, a predicted model, not a curated record
UAUGCAAGGGUAGGUUGCCUGCAUUUGGAUAAACGAACUAUAUGUCAUAUAUAAGCGAAAAUUUUUGAAUAACUUUUAAAAUGUCUUCUAUUGCUUUUGCGUUAUUUCCGCAGACGAAGUGCAGAGUAGCAGACAAAGCUACGCUCACCCGAGAGGUUACGCGUCCAGGAUACAGCCAUCCGAAAAAUAGGGUCAACGAAGCCCUGAAAAAUUUUAAAGAAUUUGCUCAUGCCUUCAAAUGUAAACCUGGUGACCCUAUGUAUCCGCCCGAAAAUGAAACAUGCUCUUUAUGGUGAAGAAGAACCAGAAGACUACAGCAUGAAACAACUGUUUUGAAAAGUUAAAUAAAAUACUGUCGAUGUGCAAA